CAGGAGCCUGCAGUUAGGGAUGGGAUUGUGCUCACAGCUCUUCCCUCUCUUACAGCCUCUUGGUGUUUGCCAGGGGACCACAGCCUCAUUCCAGUGUCCUGUGACUGCUGCAUUGGGUUUGGGAAGUGACAGCACUUCAUUGGUGCUUUUCAGGAAUGGAAGAAGCCCUGAUUUGGUGAUGGUUCACCUCAACCCCAGCUCAAAGCUGUAACAAAGCAUCUGCUGGUGCCAGUGAUGGUUCAGAGAUCCCACCAAGGACAUCACCCAGCUUCACAUGGCCUGAAGGAUUUAUUUGCAGCAAGUUCACAAGGCUGAGAUUCAUCCAGUGGAUUGGAGAACUGAACGUUGCCGAGGUGCAGGAGGCCUGAUAACACCUGCAAUGCAAUCAGGGAGUUUUCAGGACAGCUCCCCCCAAGGCAGGCUCCCCUGAGCUCUCCUUU
This is a long non-coding RNA of Zonotrichia leucophrys gambelii, 440 nucleotides long. RefSeq lists it as uncharacterized. The transcript has 3 exons. The record is from RefSeq and is a predicted model, not a curated record. NCBI's taxonomy places the organism in Eukaryota, Metazoa, Chordata, Aves, Passeriformes, Passerellidae.